UAGUUGUCGGGUCUUCAUUGACUUGGUAACGUAGCUAACGCGUGAAGUUGACCGCCUGGGGAGUACGGUCGCAAGAUUAAAACUCAAAGGAAUUGACGGGGACCCGCACAAGCGGUGGAUGAUGUGGAUUAAUUCGAUGCAACGCGAAAAACCUUACCUACCCUUGACAUGUAUGGAAUCCUGCUGAGAGGUGGGAGUGCCCGAAAGGGAGCCAUAACACAGGUGCUGCAUGGCUGUCGUCAGCUCGUGUCGUGAGAUGUUGGGUUAAGUCCCGCAACGAGCGCAACCCUUGUCCCUAGUUGCUACGCAAGAGCACUCUAGGGAGACUGCCGGUGACAAACCGGAGGAAGGUGGGGAUGACGUCAAGUCCUCAUGGCCCUUAUGGGUAGGGCUUCACACGUCAUACAAUGGUCGGAACAGAGGGUCGCCAACCCGCGAGGGGGAGCCAAUCCCAGAAAACCGAGCGUAGUCCGGAUCGCACUCUGCAACUCGAGUGCGUGAAGCUGGAAUCGCUAGUAAUCGCGGAUCAGCAUGCCGCGGGUGAAUACGUUCCCGGG
Molecule: ribosomal RNA, 557 nt
Filed under: Paraburkholderia sp.
Lineage: Bacteria; Pseudomonadati; Pseudomonadota; Betaproteobacteria; Burkholderiales; Burkholderiaceae
Description: bacterial SSU rRNA
Rfam family: Bacterial small subunit ribosomal RNA
Source: RNAcentral